RNAcentral lists this ribosomal RNA (404 nucleotides) under Actinomycetes bacterium. Its description in RNAcentral is "Actinobacteria bacterium partial 16S ribosomal RNA". It matches the Rfam family "Bacterial small subunit ribosomal RNA", at positions 355 to 776 of the family's 1533-position model. The record is from RNAcentral. Lineage: Bacteria; Bacillati; Actinomycetota; Actinomycetes.
UGGGGAAUAUUGGACAAUGGGCGCAAGCCUGAUCCAGCCAUGCCGCGUGAGUGAUGAAGGCCCUAGGGUUGUAAAGCUCUUUCACCGGUGAAGAUAAUGACGGUAACCGGAGAAGAAGCCCCGGCUCACUUCGUGCCAGCAGCCGCGGUAAUACGAAGGGGGCUCGCGUUGUUCGGAUUUACUGGGCGUAAAGCGCACGUAGGCGGACUAUUAAGUCAGGGGUGAAAUCCCGGGGCUCAACCCCGGAACUGCCUUUGAUACUGGUAGUCUUGAAUUCGAGAGAGGUACGUGGAAUUCCGAGUGUAGAGAUGAAAUUCGUAGAUAUUCGUAGGAACACCAGUGGCGAAGGCGGCUCACUGGCUCGAUACUGACGCUGAGGUGCGAAAGCGUGGGGAGCAAACAGG